This 114-nucleotide ribosomal RNA is filed under the name Acanthosepion pharaonis. The record is from RNAcentral. Lineage: Eukaryota; Metazoa; Mollusca; Cephalopoda; Sepiida; Sepiidae.
UUACGACCAUAUCAUGUUAAAACACUAGUUCUUGUAUGAUCACUGAAGUUAAGCAACAUCAAGCCAUGUCAGUACCUAGAUGGGUGAGCACUUAGGAAUACCACAUGCUGUAAG